GGUGUAUGUAGUAUACAUAUAUAGUAAGAUAUAUUUAACUUUUUUUUCUGAGAAUGAUUUUCAAAUGAUUAUUAUUCUGAGGGGGAAAAAAGCUAGUAAUUUCCUAUCACAGUACACUGGUCUGUGACGACCACACGAUGACACUGAAGACCCAAGAUACUCAUCACACUAGCUCUUUUCCAUCCAUUCUGCAUUCCUACCAGUAUUCUGAAGGCUUGGGAAAGUUUUCUAUUUAAUAAUAUGAGGAUCUGGUCAAAAAAGGCUGUCAGCAGUCUCCAUGGCCAAAGUCAUGACGCAGAUGAAGAAGCUGAAAGAAAAAAGAGU
Long non-coding RNA from Ictalurus punctatus (channel catfish), 324 nucleotides. The record is from Ensembl. Lineage: Eukaryota; Metazoa; Chordata; Actinopteri; Siluriformes; Ictaluridae.